Molecule: non-coding RNA, 119 nt
Filed under: chicken gut metagenome
Description: FMN riboswitch (RFN element)
Rfam family: FMN riboswitch aptamer (RFN element)
About the family: The RFN element is a highly conserved domain that is found frequently in the 5'-untranslated regions of prokaryotic mRNAs that encode for flavin mononucleotide (FMN) biosynthesis and transport proteins. This element is a metabolite-dependent riboswitch that directly binds FMN in the absence of proteins.
Source: RNAcentral
GUCUCAGGGCGGGGUGAAAUUCCCCACCGGUGGUUAUAGUCCACGAGCGCGAAGCGGUGCUUCGGUCAGCAGAAGCGGUGAAAUUCCGCUACCGACGGUUAAAGUCCGGAAGAAAGAGC